Long non-coding RNA from Oreochromis aureus, 1393 nucleotides. Lineage: Eukaryota; Metazoa; Chordata; Actinopteri; Cichliformes; Cichlidae. The record is from Ensembl.
UAUAUAUAUAUAUAUAUACAUAUAUAUACAUGAAAGUGAACAAAUGGGCUGCUGCCAGUGCUUGUAGUGCAGCGGACCUUCAAUUUACCCAUCAGCCCAAAAGUGCACCAGUCUGGUAUGCCAGAUUACCAGUCCACUCCUGUUCACAUGCACUUGAACUUCACAUGUUCACAUAAACUUGAGUGACAUCCCAUUCAUCUUACAGCUAUAACAGCUUCAAUUCUUCUGGGAAGGUUUUCCACAGGUUUAGACAUGUGCUUAUGGGAAUUUUUGACCAUUCUUCCAGAAGCACAUUUGUGAGGUCAGACACUGAUGUUGGAUGAAAUACCGGUGUCCUGGCAACUGCCACACCCAGACUCAUCCAUAAGAUUGCCAGGUGGAGAAGCGUGAUUCGUCACUCGAGAGAACACGUCUUCACUGCUCUAGAGUCCAGUGACGACACGCUUUACAUUACUGCUAAGGCUCAGAUGUGGCUGCUCUCUACGCACUGUUGUUGAGCUAAUCUGAAGGCCAUGUGAAGUUUGGUCUGUAGUGACUGACUCUGCAGAAAGUUGGCGACCUCUGCACACUUUGUGCCUCAGCAUCUGCUAACCCCACUCUGUGAUUUUACAUGGCCUACUACUUCAUGGCUGAGUUGCUGUCGUUCCCAGUCACUUCAGUUUUGUUAUAUUAUCACCAACUGUUGACUGUUGAAUAUUUAUUAGUGAGGAAAUUUCACGACUGGACUUGUUGUACAGGCGGCAGCCUAUCACAGAACUACACUGGAAUUCACUGAACUUUUGAGAGCGACCCAUCCUCUUAGAGAUGUUUGUAGAAGCAGUCUAUAUGUCUACCAAUAACACUUAAGUACAGCUAUACAUGUCUAGAUAUAUCUAUGGAUUCACUACGUUAGACUGAUUAUUUUAAUGUGGUCAUCAUAUUGUAUAUUAUAUUAUAUAUUAUAUUCAUGCUUUUAUGGAAAUUCAUUUUGAGAAUUGAGUUAGUAUAAGAUGGUAAUCUCAGUAAAGUUUCAGCACAAACUCAGUUUAGUAUAAUUUUGAAUUCUAUAUUGAGUAAAAAUUUCAAAUCUUUGUACUUUGUAUUGCUGUGUCUGACCUUACAUUUUAAUAUUCUCAAUAUUUAUCUUGUGAUCCAUAAUUAAAUUUUGAAUCAUUUUGCUUCAUGCAGUCGUAUUCAGUUUGCAAGUUAAUUAAAUUUUCCGUUUUAUCAUUUCAAAGCAGAAUUUAUCACUCUAGAGGAGCACAUGCAGUUUUUAGAAAUAACUUACUGGUGUCAUAACCAUGUGAUGCUUAACAUUAUCCAGGACUGUCUGGCGUCCUGAGGAAUAAACUAGACUUACACAUUCUGAAGGUUACAGCUUUACUAGCGUCAUACUGUACUGGAUCUUCUCGUC